RNAcentral lists this ribosomal RNA (217 nucleotides) under uncultured microorganism. Its description in RNAcentral is "partial 16S ribosomal RNA". It matches the Rfam family "Archaeal small subunit ribosomal RNA", at positions 330 to 546 of the family's 1478-position model. The record is from RNAcentral.
GCGCAGCAGUCGCGAAUCCUCCGCAAUACACGAAAGUGUGACGGGGCCAUCCCGAGUGCCGUCCGCUGAGGACGGCUUUUCCCCAGUGUACACAGCUGGGGGAAUAAGGAGAGGGCAAGCCUGGUGUCAGCCGCCGCGGUAAUACCAGCUCGUCCGAGUGGUGGGGACGCUUAUUGGGCCUAAAGCAGUCCGUAGCCGGCUGGGCAAGUCCUCCGUU